Molecule: ribosomal RNA, 503 nt
Filed under: uncultured bacterium
Lineage: Bacteria
Description: partial 16S ribosomal RNA
Rfam family: Bacterial small subunit ribosomal RNA
Source: RNAcentral
AUUGAACGCUGGCGGCAGGCUUAACACAUGCAAGUCGAGCGGGGUGAUGGUGCUUGCACUAUCACUUAGCGGCGGACGGGUGAGUAAUGCUUAGGAAUCUGCCUAUUAGUGGGGGACAACAUCUCGAAAGGGAUGCUAAUACCGCAUACGUCCUACGGGAGAAAGCAGGGGAUCACUUGUGAUCUUGCGCUAAUAGAUGAGCAUAAGUUGACUUAGCUUGUUGGUGGGGUAAAGGCCUACCAAGUCGACGAUCUGUAGCGGGUCUGAGAGGAUGAUCCGCCACACUGGGACUGAGACACGGCCCAGACUCCUACGGGAGGCAGCAGUGGGGAAUAUUGGACAAUGGGGGGAACCCUGAUCCAGCCAUGCCGCGUGUGUGAAGAAGGCCUUAUGGUUGUAAAGCACUUUAAGCGAGGAGGAGGCUCUUUUGGUUAAUACCCAAGAUGAGUGGACGUUACUCGCAGAAUAAGCACCGGCUAACUCUGUGCCAGCCGCCGCCGUAA